UCCUCGUUAGUAUAGUGGUGAGUAUCCCCGCCUGUCACGCGGGAGACCGGGGUUCGAUUCCCGACGGGAG
This 70-nucleotide transfer RNA is filed under the name Megalops atlanticus (tarpon). It matches the Rfam family "tRNA". Rfam says of the family: Transfer RNA (tRNA) molecules are approximately 80 nucleotides in length. Their secondary structure includes four short double-helical elements and three loops (D, anti-codon, and T loops). Lineage: Eukaryota; Metazoa; Chordata; Actinopteri; Elopiformes; Megalopidae. The record is from Rfam by way of RNAcentral.